GCCGGCGGCACCCCCAAGGGGCUCCGGGCACACGGACCGGGGUGUCCGCUCCCCCAGCACCGGCCCCCUCCGAGAUGCACCGGGGCAAAGCAGCUCCGCACAGCUUGCGGGAGAAAAGCAAUUUGGAAAGAAAAAAAGAAAUGUUAAUAAAGGCAAGAAGCUGUAAAGCUGAGGUCUAGGUGACUGCAUCUGUCAGCAAACAUACCAGGUGUUGUUGUAGAGACAGACAAAUGUCUGGGAAUGGCACACCUCAUGGGCUCAGUCACUCUCAGCCUGUCCCACUUCACCCUCUGUGGCUUCAUGGAUUUUGAAAAAGAUGGGUAAAGGAGAAGAAUCUCACAGCCUUCAACAAACUUUGGAUGAACCACAUCCAGAUCUGUCUCCUGCCCAUCAGCAAGUCUGGUGAAACCCCCUACAGCCUGGGCAGCAAGCAAGUGUGAAGGGCAGGAUAGAAGUGCUGCCAGCCUCAGGAUUCCUGAAUCAUGACUCAACAAUGAGGAGAUGCAAGAACCUAAAGGUUUGCUUGUGCCCCUAGAAGAAGAUGGACAAUAGUACUUGUUUGGCCAGCUCCUUGCCCACCCCCCUGCCUCAAGUCUCCUUGUUCUGUUAUCUGAAUGCUCUUCCUGCUCUUUGGUUCCUUAAUGAGCCUGGCACAGCUGGUUCUUUCCUAUCUCCACAUCCAGCACCCAGUGUUGUUACACCCCUCCUACCAUUUUUAGCUCCUCUUUUGCUCCUCGUUUCACUGGCUCCAAUGCUGCUGCUCUCUCCACAGCUCCCAAGACUAGCUGCUUGCUUUUUCAAAUAGUCUUCCCUCUCUCUAGGCCCUGCUUCCACUACAGCAAUCACUCUUGACUUCUAUAAUCCCAUGCACUCUGAUUUUCCAUCUAGUCAUGUUAUUCAGCCAGUCAAGGUUCUUUCCUCCCACUUCCAUCCUUUUGUUUUCCAGUAACUCCUGGCUUUAUCCUCACAACAGACAGUAUCAUAAAGCUCCUGGCCCUGAUCUGUUCUCCAUGUUUCCCUUCCCCAAGGGACUUGCUGUUCUCCUUUCACUCAGCUGCUCCUCCUUCCCCUGCCUGGCCCAGAGCAGUCACCAGAGGCUGGGUCCUUACACAAGAUGGCUGGCACUCACAAAACCUUAUGCCACCUUUGUGACACAGUGUUGACAGCAGAUCUUGGAAGAACUACACAGGGAAAAUCUCAAAUGUCCCUACAGAGCAUGUGUGAAAUGGAUUUUUUUUUUUUUAAGGCUUAUCAUUGAUCAAAAUUUGGCAUGGAUUUUUAUGGGGAUAGUGAGUAGUGUAGCUCUGACGUAAGGACAGCUCUCCUUCAUAGGUUUCAGCUUCCUCCUCCAAAGCAGUUGAGCAAAAGACUGUUCUUUUUAACGUACACUUUAACACUCAAAUCCAAAAUGUUUUGCUCUGCCUUUUUUUAUUUCUCCCUGAGUAGAUUUAAUGUACAGGCUGAAGCCAUAUUUAAAAAGAAAACAAAAAUUAUAAAAAAAUCAGAUGUAGGCAGACAGCCAGAAUAGAACAUUUCAGCUCCAAUCAUAAAAAUUACAAGCAACUGAAUGGUUUAGAGUAGGAAUGCCCAGUCUGUCUAAUUCCAUCUCUGCUGGUAAAUUUCUCCUUGCUAAAACCUGCACUUUGAACUUGCCACUCUGGGAUCAAU
Molecule: long non-coding RNA, 1668 nt
Organism: Passer domesticus (house sparrow)
Lineage: Eukaryota; Metazoa; Chordata; Aves; Passeriformes; Passeridae
Exons: 3
Source: RefSeq, a predicted model, not a curated record